GAUAGCAGCUCAAGUGAUGAAUGUACUUUGCUUAUCCUUUCUUUUAAUUUGUUCAUUUUUUCCUUUCCUUUUUUUUUGUUUUGACAUUUCUGGUUGAAGUUUUGUGCACUGAUAAAUCUGAAUGAUUUGGAAUGAGAUUAUUUGGAGUUUUGAUGAAAAUUAAUGAUUAAGGGAAUGCCUUUAAGGAGCUUUUAUUCCAUUGAAAUGAAUGAGGUUUGUGAUAUGAAAGGUUUGUUGGACAUUGAAUCACGUUAUCUCACUCACACCUUGAAAUAUUGUUGUAGGUGAAAUGAUUCAAGAUGUAGAGA
Molecule: unclassified non-coding RNA, 308 nt
Filed under: Hevea brasiliensis (rubber tree)
Lineage: Eukaryota; Viridiplantae; Streptophyta; Magnoliopsida; Malpighiales; Euphorbiaceae
Source: RNAcentral